Cucumis sativus (cucumber) is the source of this 1173-nucleotide long non-coding RNA. RefSeq lists it as uncharacterized. The record is from RefSeq and is a predicted model, not a curated record. NCBI's taxonomy places the organism in Eukaryota, Viridiplantae, Streptophyta, Magnoliopsida, Cucurbitales, Cucurbitaceae. The transcript has 2 exons.
UAUUGUAUUUGUGUGGUUGCAGAAUGUGAUGUAUUCAUGAGACGCGACGCUAAUUGAGUAUGACCUCCAGGUCUAAGAAUGAUUGAAUGUGGUGGGAGGCUAGUGGAAAUCUCAGGUAACUCCUGUGAUACUGUUGAGUACGAAUCCCAAGUCUAAACGUGGGAAGAAUUCCAGAUCUCAUAAUUGAGCUUGUUGUGAAAUGAAUCUAGCGUAUGAUGUUGUAGCGCUCGUUGUGCAAAGUCUGAGCAAGUUGGUGAUGAGACACUGAUUGAGCGUGACUUCGAGGUCUGAGAAUGAUUGAAUGUGGCUGGACGCUGUUGGAAAUCCCAAGUAACUUGCAUGAUACUGGUUGUCAGACAUUGAAGCCAUGUGAAGGUUGGUUCUGAGUCAUUGUAACCUAGUUAAGGAGAGAAGUUAGAGUUACUCUGUAGUUUUACAUGGCGUGCUAGCCAUGACAUCUCAUCAUACGUUCAAGGAGUCGGUUAGUAAAGUUGACUCUCCUUAAUGCUCAAACCUCAAUUAAACUAGAAAGAGAGAGGGUAAGAGCUGAAGAACUGAGGGAGAGAAAGGAAAUCCUGAAGAUUGUCUUCUAACUUGAGGGGUUGGGUGAACGAGGUAAAGAAGGAAAGAAGAUUUUUAUACCUCUAAGUACCCCACCUCAAGGAAGCAAUUGAACGAGUGAAGGAGGGAAAGGAAGAACCCCAAAGAUGUCCUUGAGAUUGAUUGUGAACGCCAAAGGAAAAAAGGAAGAGAUCAGAGUAUUUUCUACCAUGGCAGAAAAGGCUGCAACUUGGUGGGAAGAAGAAGGAUGCGAGAAGAUCAAAGUUGGUUUAUUUUAUGCAAAGCAAAGUUGUAACUUGUAAUUUGUACUUCUAAAAGUGUUAAAUUAAUAAAGAGGAGUUUUAAGUUAUUCCGCUGUGUUAUAUGUAGAGUUGUUUCUGCUGCAAACGAUGUGAAGAUCUCUAAGGCUCAAUGGAAGAGCUUUGCGAAGAGACAAGGACAAGAGUUGUUUUGCUCACUAGGUGUUCGACAUGUUAUCUUGAAAGAGGUAUGUGUUGAAUGUCUAGGUGGCACGCCCUCCAUUUGGUUGCAGGGUGUGACAUUUGGGGCGGGGUGUGACAAGUUGUACUUGGUGUAAAGAGUUAAGUUAAUAAAAAGAAGAAGUUAUGUUUA